AUUGAACGCUGGCGGCAGGCCUAACACAUGCAAGUCGGACGGUAGCACAGAGGAGCUUGCUCCUCGGGUGACGAGUGGCGGACGGGUGAGUAAUGUCUGGGGAUCUGCCCGAUAGAGGGGGAUAACCACUGGAAACGGUGGCUAAUACCGCAUAACGUCGCAAGACCAAAGAGGGGGACCUUCGGGCCUCUCACUAUCGGAUGAACCCAGAUGGGAUUAGCUAGUAGGCGGUGUAACGGCCCACCUAGGCGACGAUCCCUAGCUGGUCCGAGAGGAUGACCAGCCACACUGGAACUGAGACACGGUCCAGACUCCUAAGGGAGGCAGCAGUGGGGAAUAUUGCACGAUGGGCGCAAGCCUGAUGCAGCCAUGCCGCGUGUAUGAAGAAGGCCUUCGGGUUGUAAAGUACUUUCAGCGGGGAGGAAGGCGAUGUGGUUAAUAACCGCAUUGAUUGACGUUACCCGCAGAAGAAGCACCGGCUAACUCCGUGCCAGCCGCCGCAGUAA
This 506-nucleotide ribosomal RNA is filed under the name uncultured bacterium. RNAcentral's name for it is "partial 16S ribosomal RNA". It matches the Rfam family "Bacterial small subunit ribosomal RNA", at positions 29 to 523 of the family's 1533-position model. The record is from RNAcentral.